CAGCAGCCGCGGUAAUACGAAGGGUGCAAGCGUUACUCGGAAUUACUGGGCGUAAAGCGUGCGUAGGUGGUGGUUUAAGUCCGUUGUGAAAGCCCUGGGCUUAACCUGGGAAUUGCAGUGGAUACUGGGUCACUAGAGUGUGGUAGAGGAUAGUGGAAUUUCCGGUGUAGCAGUGAAAUGCGUAGAGAUCGGAAGGAACAUCUGUGGCGAAGGCGACUAUCUGGGCCAACACUGACAUUGAGGCACGAAAGCGUGGGGAGCAAACAGGAUUAGAUACCCCGGUAGUCCCUGUCUCUUAUAC
This 301-nucleotide ribosomal RNA is filed under the name uncultured bacterium. RNAcentral describes it as "partial 16S ribosomal RNA". It matches the Rfam family "Bacterial small subunit ribosomal RNA", at positions 509 to 807 of the family's 1533-position model. The record is from RNAcentral.